Molecule: small nuclear RNA, 104 nt
Filed under: Dasypus novemcinctus (nine-banded armadillo)
Lineage: Eukaryota; Metazoa; Chordata; Mammalia; Cingulata; Dasypodidae
Source: RNAcentral
UUGCUUUGGCAGCACAUAUACUAAAUUGGAAUGAUACAGGGAAGAUUAGCAAGGACCCUCUGUGCAAGGAGGACACACAAAUUAGUGACGUGUUCCAUAAUUUU